RNAcentral lists this small nuclear RNA (170 nucleotides) under Vicugna pacos (alpaca). RNAcentral's name for it is "U1 spliceosomal RNA (ENSVPAG00000015801.1)". It matches the Rfam family "U1 spliceosomal RNA". From Rfam's summary of the family: U1 is a small nuclear RNA (snRNA) component of the spliceosome (involved in pre-mRNA splicing). The record is from RNAcentral. Lineage: Eukaryota; Metazoa; Chordata; Mammalia; Artiodactyla; Camelidae.
AUAUUUUUUUGGCAGGGGCGACACCAUUAUCCCGAAGGUGGUUCUCACAGGGGUGUGGAUCAUCCAAAGCACUUCGGAUGUGUUGUCCCCUGCGAUUCCUCCAAACGUGGGAAACUCUAAAGCAUAAUUUGAGGUAGUGGGGGGGAGGAAUGCGUUUGCACUUUCCCCUG